GACGAACGCUGGCGGCGUGCUUAACACAUGCAAGUCGAACGGAAAGGCCCUGCUUUUGUGGGGUGCUCGAGUGGCGAACGGGUGAGUAACACGUGAGUAACCUGCCCUUGACUUUGGGAUAACUUCAGGAAACUGGGGCUAAUACCGGAUAGGAGCUCCUGCUGCAUGGUGGGGGUUGGAAAGUUUCCGGCGGUUGGGGAUGGACUCGCGGCUUAUCAGCUUGUUGGUGGGGUAGUGGCUUACCAAGGCUUUGACGGGUAGCCGGCCUGAGAGGGUGACCGGCCACAUUGGGACUGAGAUACGGCCCAGACUCCUACGGGAGGCAGCAGUGGGGAAUAUUGCACAAUGGGCGGAAGCCUGAUGCAGCAACGCCGCGUGCGGGAUGACGGCCUUCGGGUUGUAAACCGCUUUCGCCUGUGACGAAGCGUGAGUGACGGUAAUGGGUAAAGAAGCACCGGCUAACUACGUG
This 469-nucleotide ribosomal RNA is filed under the name uncultured bacterium. RNAcentral describes it as "partial 16S ribosomal RNA". It matches the Rfam family "Bacterial small subunit ribosomal RNA", at positions 28 to 507 of the family's 1533-position model. The record is from RNAcentral.